GGCCAGUUAGCUCAGUCAGUUGAGCGUGGUGCUAACAACACCAAGGCCGCGGGCUCAAUUCCCGUUUGGUCC
RNAcentral lists this transfer RNA (72 nucleotides) under Apaloderma vittatum (bar-tailed trogon). It matches the Rfam family "tRNA". Rfam says of the family: Transfer RNA (tRNA) molecules are approximately 80 nucleotides in length. Their secondary structure includes four short double-helical elements and three loops (D, anti-codon, and T loops). The record is from Rfam by way of RNAcentral. Lineage: Eukaryota; Metazoa; Chordata; Aves; Trogoniformes; Trogonidae.